GCCCUGGCUCAGUGGACAGAGCGUCAGCCUGCGGCUGAAAGGACCGGGGUUCGAUUCCGGUCAAGGGCA
RNAcentral lists this transfer RNA (69 nucleotides) under Myotis brandtii (Brandt's bat). It matches the Rfam family "tRNA". From Rfam's summary of the family: Transfer RNA (tRNA) molecules are approximately 80 nucleotides in length. Their secondary structure includes four short double-helical elements and three loops (D, anti-codon, and T loops). Lineage: Eukaryota; Metazoa; Chordata; Mammalia; Chiroptera; Vespertilionidae. The record is from Rfam by way of RNAcentral.